UUUAAAAGAACAUAAAAACUCAAAUUUUAAGUAAGAUUAAACAUUUAAAAGGACAAAUCGAAUAAAACCAGGAUUACAAAGCACAAUAUACUGAUACAACAUAAAUGUAUGACCCAUCAUACUUCUCACUGCACACUGUCAGUGCAGAGAAACCUGGCAGGGUCACCAGAUUUUAUUAUAGGAAGCAGUUGCUCAUCACAAGUGGCUCUGAAUGCCACAGUGGAAACCAAAAUAUAUUCUACUGGAUAUUAAUCCAACGCGAAUGUGUGCAUUCAUGUGCAAACUUCAGAAACAGCUUCCAAUAUGGCAACGUACAUAUAUAAAUUUGUUCACAUCUGCUAUUUUGAAAAUACAAUACAAUAAAUAUAAGAGAAUUAACAUUAAAUUGGGGAUUUAGUCCCUUCAGCCAGAAUAAACCCCCCAUACCAGCACAGAAGUUCAAGAAAAACCAAAAAGCAAAUGAAAAGAAAUAGCAGAAAGGCCGAAGACAGAUUGACAUCUGCAUUAGUUCAUUAAUUCAAACAAGA
Arachis ipaensis is the source of this 527-nucleotide non-coding RNA. Lineage: Eukaryota; Viridiplantae; Streptophyta; Magnoliopsida; Fabales; Fabaceae. The record is from RefSeq and is a predicted model, not a curated record.